GCACAUUGAGAGAGAUUCUGGUGGGAAGAUAACCAGGAAGGUCACGCUGAAAGGCAGCCACAGCUUCCUCCCUAGCGGUGGGGCCACAUUCUUCCUGCUCUUGUGCCAGGGAACAGUCUGUCUUGUUAUCAAUAAUUGUUAGCCUUGUCCAACUCUGAGGCCAGACUUUCACCGAGGCCCUUGGGACCUUCCCCAGCUAAAGGGUUCCACGAGCCUCUGCUGUCUCCAGUAACCAGCAGACUAAGGAGGGGCCAGAGAGACUUGUGGCUGAACCCCAAAGACAUGUUCCUCGUCGUAGUUCCAGGCAGAAGGAGCCAAGACUUGAUCUGCGCUGGCAAAGUUAUUUUUUAAACUGGAAUUGCUGGUAAGGCUGCUUCCCUAAAAGGCAGCCCCAGUCCUGGCUCCUGCUGCCCUUCCUGGAGCCGUGGCUCUCUGCCAUCGCGUGCUGUCAUGGUUUCUCCAGACUCCCCUUCCGGUCCACUCCCCCGUCUCAGUCCCUUACCUCCCAACUCGGCUACCCGCAGCCCCUCCAGAAGAAAACGGAAUGUUUGGGAGGUUUCCCCAGUGAUGCUCAGCUACACACGGUACAGCCCACAACCCACAUCUCCAGACCCCAGGCUGGUACAGGGUUUCCUGGACUCACUUCCCAAAAGGCCGCCUCAGUACCUGCCACCCUGCGGUCCAGCCUUAUCUCGGCUCCUUGUCACUGCUCUGUCUGAUCUGUUAAGUCAGACCAAUGUGGCUGCCCUGCGCGUGUCCUCUUAGUGUUUGUGGCCCAUUCAAAGUACAGAUGUUUGUCACAGCCUACAAGAAAGACAGGUUCACGGGGACCCAGGUCUCAUUUGCCCAGAUUUGUGAACUGGAAGGAGAGAGGCCCGUGAGGGUUCCGUAGGUCUGCAUGUGGGGUCCCACCUGUGCAGCCAUACCUGGCCACCGGCCUCACUCGAGACACCGCCUCCCUCGCGUUCUCUGUCGGCACCCUUGAGGUGACGGCCCAAGACAAGGGGUGGCAGUGAAAAAGAAGAGUGGAUUUAAAAACCCUAGAAAACAUGAAGCAAUGAAAUGCCUGGAAUAUGAAGGAGGAUAGGAAGGGGUUCCAUUAAAGGCGUAAUAAGAUGGACCCGGUUGGAAGGUUGAGAAGGCAGACUGAUUCUCUUCUUGGGGCUGUUGUGGCUGGUGACUUGAAGCCAAUGCUCAUUUACAAUCCAAAAAUCCUAGGGCCCCUAAGAGCACAUACUCUGCCUGUGCUCUACAAAUGGAACAACUAAGCCUGGCUGACAGCACUUCUGUUUACUGCAUGGUUCAACUAAUAUUUUAAAUCCUCUGCGGAGACCUACUGCUCAGAAAAAGAGAUUCCUUCCAAAAAUAUUACUGCUCAGUGACAAGGAACCUGGUCACCAGGAGCUCUGAUGGAGAUAGAUGUACAAUGAGAUGAAUGCUGUUUUCCUGCCUGCUAACACAAUAUCCAUCCUACAGCCCAUGGAUCAAGGUGUAAUCUUGACUUUCAAGUCUCAUUAUUUAAGAAAUACAUUUCAGGACUUUCCUGUAGUCCAGUGGCUAAGACUCCACACUCCCAAUGCAGGGACAGGGAACUAGGUCCCACAUGCCUCAACUAAAAGAUCCUGCAUGCCACAAUGAAAAUCGAAGACCCUGCAUGCCAUAACUAAGAUCUGGAGCAGCCAAAUACAUAUAAAUAAAUACUUAAAAAAGAAAACCCAAAACCUUCCCCCCCAAAAUCAUAGAGAAGUUCGGUGUUUUUGAACAUAAGCCAUCUGUUCUCCAUGUUGGGC
Molecule: long non-coding RNA, 1790 nt
Organism: Bos taurus (domestic cattle)
Lineage: Eukaryota; Metazoa; Chordata; Mammalia; Artiodactyla; Bovidae
Source: Ensembl